CAUUUCAUAAAUCAUAUUUUAGGUUUACCGUCUACUAUUUCAAAAAUCAAAUGUUUUGUUAAUUAACUAAUCUGCCCUAUUCCAUUUUAAACCCUAACUCAUUUUCUUCUUCCCUUUCUUCUCUCUAUUCUCAUUUUCCUCACCACGCUCUAUACAAUCUUCGUUAACAUUCCUCAUCGGAGAGCAUUGCCAUCAGAGACUGUCUCUCUACCAUUUUCACCGUAAGAGUCGUCAGUGAAGCAUUUCUUGAUUGCAAAUCGUACCAACAGCGGCCCAAAUCGUUGGAAGCUCUGCAAAUUGUGGCUGUAGCGGUG
RNAcentral lists this long non-coding RNA (314 nucleotides) under Olea europaea (common olive). Its description in RNAcentral is "long non-coding RNA (OEUR_LNC001083)". Lineage: Eukaryota; Viridiplantae; Streptophyta; Magnoliopsida; Lamiales; Oleaceae. The record is from RNAcentral.